Molecule: ribosomal RNA, 542 nt
Filed under: bacterium enrichment culture clone Cont823_3132
Lineage: Bacteria
Description: bacterial SSU rRNA
Rfam family: Bacterial small subunit ribosomal RNA
Source: RNAcentral
AGAGUUUGAUCMUGGCUCAGAUUGAACGCUGGCGGCGUGCUUAACACAUGCAAGUCGAACGAGAAAGGGGCUUCGGCCCUGAGUACAGCGGCGAACGGGUGAGUAUCGCGUGGGARACCUGCCUUCGAGUGGGGGAUAACACUCCUAACGGGGUGCUAAUACCGCAUGACACCCUCGGAUCGCAUGGUCCCGAGCGUCAAAGGUGGCCUCUACUUGUAAGCUACCGCUUGAAGAUGGUCCCGCGUCCGAUUAGCUAGUUGGCGGGGURACGGCCCACCAAGGCGACGAUCGGUAGCUGGUCUGAGAGGAUGGUCAGCCACACUGGGACUGAGAUACGGCCCAGACUCCUACGGGAGGCAGCAGUCGAGAGGCUUCGGCAAUGGGGGAAACCCUGACCGAGCGACGCCGCGUGGGGGAUGAAGGCCCUUGGGUUGUAAACCCCUUUUAUUCGGGAAGAAAUGCGAUCAGGUGAAUAAUCUGGUCGUUUGACGGUACCGAAUGAAUAAGCUCCGGCUAACUCCGUGCCAGCAGCCGCGGUAAUA